This 497-nucleotide ribosomal RNA is filed under the name uncultured bacterium. RNAcentral's name for it is "partial 16S ribosomal RNA". It matches the Rfam family "Bacterial small subunit ribosomal RNA", at positions 28 to 507 of the family's 1533-position model. The record is from RNAcentral.
GAUGAACGCUGGCGGCGUGCCUAAUACAUGCAAGUCGAGCGAACAGACGAGGAGCUUGCUCCUCUGACGUUAGCGGCGGACGGGUGAGUAACACGUGGAUAACCUACCUAUAAGACUGGGAUAACUUCGGGAAACCGGAGCUAAUACCGGAUAAUAUAUUGAACCGCAUGGUUCAAUAGUGAAAGACGGUUUUGCUGUCACUUAUAGAUGGAUCCGCGCCGCAUUAGCUAGUUGGUAAGGUAACGGCUUACCAAGGCAACGAUGCGUAGCCGACCUGAGAGGGUGAUCGGCCACACUGGAACUGAGACACGGUCCAGGCUCCUACGGGAGGCAGCAGUAGGGAAUCUUCCGCAAUGGGCGAAAGCCUGACGGAGCAACGCCGCGUGAGUGAUGAAGGUCUUCGGAUCGUAAAACUCUGUUAUUAGGGAAGGACAAAUGUGUAAGUAACUAUGCACGUCUUGACGGUACCUAAUCAGAAAGCCACGGCUAACUACGUG